This 370-nucleotide ribosomal RNA is filed under the name uncultured organism. RNAcentral's name for it is "partial 16S ribosomal RNA". It matches the Rfam family "Bacterial small subunit ribosomal RNA", at positions 527 to 896 of the family's 1533-position model. The record is from RNAcentral.
GUAGGUGGCAAGCGUUGUCCGGAGUUAUUGGGCGUAAAGCGCGCGCAGCGGGCCUUUAAGUCUGAUGUGAAAGCCACGGGCUCAACCGUGAGGGUCAUUGGAAACUGGGGGACUUGAGUACAGAAGAGGAAAGCGGAAUUCCAAGUGUAGCGGUGAAAUGCGUAGAGAUUUGGAGGAACACCAGUGGCGAAGGCGGCUUUCUGGUCUGUAACUGACGCUGAGGCGCGAAAGCGUGGGGAGCAAACAGGAUUAGAUACCCUGGUAGUCCACGCCGUAAACGAUGAGUGCUAAGUGUUAGGGGGUUUCCGCCCCUUAGUGCUGCAGCUAACGCAUUAAGCACUCCGCCUGGGGAGUACGGCCGCAAAGGCUG